RNAcentral lists this ribosomal RNA (253 nucleotides) under uncultured bacterium. RNAcentral's name for it is "partial 16S ribosomal RNA". It matches the Rfam family "Bacterial small subunit ribosomal RNA", at positions 524 to 776 of the family's 1533-position model. The record is from RNAcentral.
UACAGAGGGGGCAAGCGUUGUUCGGAUUUACUGGGCGUAAAGGGCGCGUAGGCGGCGUGACAAGUCACUUGUGAAAUCUCCGGGCUUAACUCGGAACGGCCAAGUGAAACUGUCAUGCUAGAGUGCAGAAGGGGCAAUCGGAAUUCUUGGUGUAGCGGUGAAAUGCGUAGAUAUCAAGAGGAACACCUGAGGUGAAGACGGGUUGCUGGGCUGACACUGACGCUGAGGCGCGAAAGCCAGGGGAGCAAACGGG